Sarcophilus harrisii (Tasmanian devil) is the source of this 2080-nucleotide long non-coding RNA. RefSeq lists it as uncharacterized. The record is from RefSeq and is a predicted model, not a curated record. Lineage: Eukaryota; Metazoa; Chordata; Mammalia; Dasyuromorphia; Dasyuridae. The transcript has 4 exons.
ACUAGGCAGGCGCCCAUCCUACUGGCUCCUUCCAUUUGUUGCCCCACUGGCUGAAUUUCCAUUAAUUGACUCCCGCAUACAUAUUGAGCGUACAGGUAGAAUACGUUGCUAGUAUAUGUAGGAAGCAGGCGCUUGAUCAGUAUUUAGGAGGCGUCCAAAACAAAUCUCUCUGUGAAACUGGACCGGCCCUGGGAUCUUGCACUGGGGAAUUGAGUAAAUGACAUAUGGGAAGUACGACUGCCCGAGCACAUACUUGGGGUAGGGAUAAAUCCAGGCAAGAGGUCAGAUGACCAGUCACAUAACUGGAACCUCCUCCCCCUCUUCCCCUUUUCUGAUUUUUAUUGUUUUGUUUUGAGAGGGAGACUAGCAGCUUGCCAUUGCGUUCCAUUCCAUUGGUUGACGCCAGGAACAGAGAACAAGAGAGAGCGGUUUGCUAAGCCAAGAAGCCGCCGCUGGCCGCUUGCUUGCGACUGCUACUUCCCCCGAACCACCGAAGUCCGAACUUUAGGCGAAUUGGAUCAGAUGAGACCAAGGUACUGUCGGGGUGAGACUGGCCAGAGAGCAAGAGUGCACAGGCUGAAAGCUACUUGAGGACAAGAACUGAUGGGGAAAUUGAGGUAAACAGGAUGAAGUGAUUUGUCCAGGACCAUACAACUAAUACAUUUCUAACGACAGAUUUGAACUCAGGAAGAUGCCUUCUAGACUCUAUCCACGUUGCCACCUAACUGUUCAAACUGACACAGGAAAGAAACUGAGGCCCAGUGUGGAAAAAAGAAAUCACCUAAAUUCAUAUGAAUCAGUGGCAGAUUUGGGACAACAUCCCACAAAUGGACCUCUAGCCUAGUUCUUUCUCCAUUUCCAAGUUUGCAUAAGGGACCAAAUUUGAGUUACUUCUGGAUUUUGAUGGGAAAAGGCUAUGUAAUGAGUCUCUGAACAUGAUGGUUUCAAAGGACAAGUGAACAAAUCAUCAUCCCAAUCUGGAAAUCAGAAUCCAGUCCAUAUUUACAAUUAAUGCUGCAUUGAUGCCAGUGAGCAGUCUUUGUAUUAGCAGAAGGAUUCAUUCAUCAGCAAUCCCAACUUUGGCCGUGAAUUUGGCAGGAUUAAUGGUACAUAGUAACGGAGUUGAUUUCCGAGCUUUAUUUUUCUCCCCAUACCACCCUCUACUGACUAAGGUAGUAUGGUAAGGAUUCUCAGAAAUACAAUGAUCCAAGACAAUUCCAAAGGGCUCAUGAUGAAAAUGUUAUCUACAUGCAGAUAAAGAAUUGGAUGGAGUGUGUAUAUGUUUGUUCUUUCUAUGUCUUUGAAAUAAAUAUCCUCUUAUAAAAGUUACCCAGUGUUAAAUGGUUGAAUGGAAUGGGGGUGUUAGUCAUUAGUCUCUUUAAAAUCAAGGGAACAUAGUGGAGGCUUGAGCUAAUAUCAGUAGAGAAGAGACAUUCACAAAUCCUUCCAUGUAUUCUGAAGAUUGAAGGGAAAUAUAGUCCUGAGAGAGUUGAACUUUACUGUUCAUAUUAUGUGAGCAUCGGUCAGAGACUAUUAUUCCUGAGAAUGAAAAUGGAGAGGCGAUGGUAAUAACCUGAUGAAUAACCAUAAAUUCAAGAGUUUCCAGUUUUUAGAGUUCCUUAAGAAUCUGACAUUGGCCUCUCAGAGAGAGAGAACUUCUCAAUAAUGUAUAAUAUCAAAAGGAAGAGAACUGAACCAGAGAUGAAAGAUUUAAAAACUAUACCAAGAGAAACUAGCAUAUCCUGACCUGGCUAAUCUUCCAUGACAUUUCUGUGAAUUGUUCAGAUGGUGCUGGUGUGAGACUGAUAAGAAAUAUUUGUUCAAUAGUCACAAUGGUUUGUUGCCUUCAGAGGGGCACCUAAAUGAAUUUGGUGCUCUACCUGAGUGAUUCAUGCUUAUGUAUUUAUUCAUGGUGUCUCAGGUGGGGUGGGGUUCCUUUGUAUAUCUUAAACAUUUUUUGUGGUGGAGAAAAUAAAAGUUAUUGUAUACUUAGCAUUCAUAUUGUACAUUGAGUGCCUGGGGCAGGGAUACAGACUAUUUUCACUUUUGGGGAACCCUAAACCUAAAGCAUUUUUGUUAU